This 427-nucleotide ribosomal RNA is filed under the name uncultured Comamonadaceae bacterium. RNAcentral describes it as "bacterial SSU rRNA". It matches the Rfam family "Bacterial small subunit ribosomal RNA", at positions 355 to 774 of the family's 1533-position model. Lineage: Bacteria; Pseudomonadati; Pseudomonadota; Betaproteobacteria; Burkholderiales; Comamonadaceae. The record is from RNAcentral.
UGGGGAAUUUUGGACAAUGGGCGAAAGCCCGAUCCAGCAAUGCCGCGUGCAGGAAGAAGGCCUUCGGGUUGUAAACUGCUUUUGUACGGAACGAAACGGUCUGCCCUAAUACGGUGGGCUAAUGACGGUACCGUAAGAAUAAGCACCGGCUAACUACGUGCCAGCAGCCGCGGUAAUACGUAGGGUGCGAGCGUUAAUCGGAAUUACUGGGCGUAAAGCGCGCGCAGGCGGUUCUAUAAACAAGAUGUGAAAUCCCCGGGCUCAACCUGGGAAUGGCAUUUGUGUCUGUAGAGCUAGAGUACGGUAGAGGGGGAUGGAAUUCCGCGUGUAGCAGUGAAACGCGUAGAUAUGCGGAGGAACACCGAUGGCGAAGGCAAUCCCCUGGACCUGUACUGACGCUCAUGCACGAAAGCGUGGGGAGCAAACA